RNAcentral lists this ribosomal RNA (1944 nucleotides) under human oral metagenome. RNAcentral's name for it is "bacterial LSU rRNA". It matches the Rfam family "Bacterial large subunit ribosomal RNA", at positions 3 to 1999 of the family's 2925-position model. The record is from RNAcentral.
UUAAGCUACUAAGAGCAUAGGGUGAAUGCCUAGGCACCAAAAGCCGAUGAAAGACGUGACAAGCUGCGAUAAGCCUUGGGGAGGAGCACAUAUCCUUUGAUCCAGGGAUUUCUGAAUGAGGAAACUCAGCUGGGAAAAAGAGCCCAGUUAUCCACACAUGAGUAAAGUAGUGUGUGAGAAGGGAACGUGGAGAACUGAAACAUCUUAGUACCCACAGGAAAAGAAAGAAAAAUCGAUAUCGAAAGUAGUGGCGAGCGAAAUCGAUAGAGCCCAAACCAGAAUCAGUAAUGAUACUGGGGUUCGGACAGCAUAAUUGAUUAAACGAGGAUAGCAAAACUGUUUUGGAAAAGCAGACUAUAAAGGGUGAAAGUCCCGUAUGCGAAAUUCAAGUUUACAUGGCUGUAUCCAGAGUAGUGCGAGACACGAGAAAUCUCGUAUGAAUGAGCGGGGACCAUCCCGUAAGGCUAAAUACUAAUUGGUGACCGAUAGCGAACUAGUACCGUGAGGGAAAGGUGAAAAGAACCCCGGGAGGGGAGUGAAAUAGAAUCUGAAACCCUAUGUUUACAAGCAGACAGAGCGAUUUAAGGCGCGAUGUCGUACUUUUUGUAGAACGGUCCAGCGAGUUAUAGUGCAUGGCAAGGUUAAGUUUUAAGUAAGGAACGGAGCCGAAGCGAAAGCGAGUCUGAAUAGGGCGAAUUAAGUCAUGCGUUAUAGACCCGAAACCGGGUGACCUAUCCAUGGUCAGGAUGAAGCAAGAGUAAAAUCUUGUGGAGGUCCGAACUGAUUGUCGUUAAAAAGGCACCGGAUGAACUGUGGAUAGCGGAGAAAUUCCAAUCGAACUCGGAGAUAGCUGGUUCUCCUCGAAAUAGCUUUAGGGCUAGCCUUGGAGGAAGACGAAUGGAGGUAGAGCACUGAAUGAGGUAGGGGCCUAACCAGGUUACCGAACUCUAUCAAACUCCGAAUGCCAUUCGUUAAUAUCCAGGAGUCAGACUACGGGAGCUAAGUUCCGUGGUCAAAAGGAAAAGAGUCCAGAUCGUCAAUUAAGGUCCCAAAUGGAUAGCUAAGUGGAAAACGAUGUGAUUUUGCGUAAACAACCAGGAUGUUGGCUCAGAAGCAGCCAUUCAUUAAAAGAGUGCGUAAUAGCUCACUGGUCGAGUGAAAUUGCGCGGAAAAUUACCGGGGCUAAGUUAUCAACCGAAAUUGCGGAUUUGUAAUUUAUUACAAGUGGUAGAGGAGCAUUCUAUUGUAGGAUGAAGUCAGAGCGUGAGCACUGGUGGACGAGAUAGAAGAGAGAAUGCUGGAAUAAGUAGCGAGAGCAGGGUGAGAAUCCCUGCCGUCGAAAGUCUAAGGUUUCCUGGGGAAGGUUCGUCCGCCCAGGGUUAGUCAGGACCUAAGGAGAGGCCGAAAGGCGUAUCUGAUGGAUAGCAGGUUGAUAUUCCUGCACUAUAUAAUACUUAAAAGAUGCAACUGACGCAGAAGUGGAAGGUGAGCAAGGAAAUGGAAAAACUUGUUCCGCAAGGGGGAGUGAAAAUAAAGUAACGAAGCACCAAGAAGCACGCUGACGAGAAAAGGUUGUAGAUCUUGUAUUAUAUACUUGUACCGCAAACCGACACAGGUAGAUGAGGAGAGGAUCCUAAGACGAUCGGGAGAAGCAUUGUUAAGGAACUCGGCAAAUUAACCCCGUAACUUUGGAAGAAGGGGUACUGGUGUAACAGCCAGUCGCAGAGAAUUGUCCCAAGCAACUGUUUAACAAAAACAUAGGUUUCUGCUAAAUCGAAAGAUGAAGUAUAGGAGCUGACGCCUGCCCAGUGCUGGAAGGUUAAGGGAACGUGUUAAUAGUAAUAUGAAGCACCGAACUGAAGCCCCAGUGAACGGCGGCCGUAACUAUAACGGUCCUAAGGAAGCGAAAUUCCUUGUCAGGUAAGUUCUGACCCGCACGAAAGG